UACGCAGGUGGCGAGCGUUGCCCGGAAUCACUGGGCGUAAAGGGUGCGUAGGCGGCUGGACAAGUCAUAGGUUAAAGCCCGGAGCUCAACUCCGGAAAGGCCUAUGAUACUGUCUGGCUUGAGGGCCGGAGAGGCUGGCGGAAUUCCCGGUGUAGGGGUGAAAUCCGUAGAUAUCGGGAAGAACGCCGGUGGUGAAGACGGUCUCCUGGGCUACUCCUGACGCUGAGGCGCGAAAGCUAGGGGAGCGAACCGG
RNAcentral lists this ribosomal RNA (253 nucleotides) under uncultured microorganism. RNAcentral's name for it is "partial 16S ribosomal RNA". It matches the Rfam family "Bacterial small subunit ribosomal RNA", at positions 524 to 776 of the family's 1533-position model. The record is from RNAcentral.